This 243-nucleotide long non-coding RNA is filed under the name Homo sapiens (human). Its description in RNAcentral is "non-protein coding lnc-PCSK4-2:1". The record is from RNAcentral. Lineage: Eukaryota; Metazoa; Chordata; Mammalia; Primates; Hominidae.
GAAUCGGAAGUGGCUGCGUCGUCGACGCUGGGCUUUCGGGUCCCGCGCCCAAGAUGGGCUCCAAGGCAAAGAAGCGCGUGCUGCUGCCCACCCGCCCAGCGCCCCCCACGGUGGAGCAGAUCCUGGAGGAUGUGCGGGGUGCGCCGGCAGAGGAUCCAGUGUUCACCAUCCUGGCCCCGGAAGCUGGAGUGCAGUGGCGAGAUCUCGACUCACUGCAGGCUCCGACUCCCCAGUUCAAGCGAU